GAUGAACGCUGGCGGCGUGCCUAAUACAUGCAAGUCGAGCGAACAGACGAGGAGCUUGCUCCUCUGACGUUAGCGGCGGACGGGUGAGUAACACGUGGAUAACCUACCUAUAAGACUGGGAUAACUUCGGGAAACCGGAGCUAAUACCGGAUAAUAUAUUGAACCGCAUGGUUCAAUAGUGAAAGCCGGUUUUGCUGUCACUUAUAGAUGGAUCCGCGCCGCAUUAGCUAGUUGGUAAGGUAACGGCUUACCAAGGCAACGAUGCGUAGCCGACCUGGGAGGGUGAUCGGCCACAGUGGGACUGAGACACGGUCCAGACUCCGACGGGAGGCAGCAGUAGGUAAUCUUCCGCAAUGGGCGAAAGCCUGACGGAUCAACGCCGCGUGAGUGAUGAAGGUCUUCGGAUCGUAAAACUCUGUUAUUAGGGAAGAACAAAUGUGUAAGUAACGAUGCACGUCUUGACGGUACCUAAACAGAAAGCCACGGCUAACUACGUG
Molecule: ribosomal RNA, 497 nt
Filed under: uncultured bacterium
Lineage: Bacteria
Description: partial 16S ribosomal RNA
Rfam family: Bacterial small subunit ribosomal RNA
Source: RNAcentral